This 594-nucleotide ribosomal RNA is filed under the name Basidiomycota sp. 29g03. RNAcentral's name for it is "SSU rRNA". It matches the Rfam family "Eukaryotic small subunit ribosomal RNA", at positions 554 to 1162 of the family's 1831-position model. Lineage: Eukaryota; Fungi; Basidiomycota. The record is from RNAcentral.
UGCAAGUCUGGUGCCAGCAGCCGCGGUAAUUCCAGCUCCAAUAGCGUAUAUUAAAGUUGUUGCAGUUAAAAAGCUCGUAGUUGGACCUUGGACCUGGACAGGCGGUCCGCCUCACGGCGAGUACUGUCUUGCUGGGUCUUUCCUCUUGGUGAUCUGUUGUUUCGGCAGCAGGGAACCAGGACUUUUACUUUGAAAAAAUUAGAGUGUUCAAAGCAGGCUCGACGCCGGAAUAUAUUAGCAUGGAAUAAUAAAAUAGGACGUGCGGUUCUAUUUUGUUGGUUUUUGGAAUCGCCGUAAUGAUUAAUAGGGACAGUCGGGGGCAUUAGUACUCACAUGCUAGAGGUGAAAUUCUUGGAUUUUGUGAAGACUAACUUCUGCGAAAGCAUUUGCCAAGGAUGUUUUCAUUAAUCAAGAACGAAGGUUAGGGUAUCGAAAACGAUUAGAUACCGUUGUAGUCUUAACAGUAAACUAUGCCGACUAGGGAUCGGUCGAUGUUAUCUUUUUGACUCGAUCGGCACCUUACGAGAAAUCAAAGUUUUUGGGUUCUGGGGGGAGUAUGGUCGCAAGGCUGAAACUUAAAGGAAUUGACGGAAG